GGGGACGCGUGGUUUCGACAGGGGAAGGUCCUGAAGGAUUGCAGGCCGGGGAGCCAUCAACCCCGUUAAAAAGGUGGCAAAAAAAGUAACCGGCGAAAGAGAAUUCGCUCUAGCCGUCUAGCUUAGACGGCUCGUCCGCCUCCGCUAACCCCGGGUGCGGGGAGCCGGGCGCAAUAGCACCGGGGCGCUGCCACCCCUAUGCCGAUUAAGGAUGGCCUAAGAACAAUCGGAUAGCCCUUUGAAACUCCGCCGGUAAAGGAUCAGAGAGGCGAAAAAGAAUUACCGGCUAAGCCUGUAGCACAUUCUUGCUCGACUUCCCUUGGACGGGGAGUUCAACUCUCCCCCGUCUCCACCA
RNAcentral lists this transfer-messenger RNA (355 nucleotides) under Chloroflexota bacterium. Its description in RNAcentral is "Chloroflexi bacterium transfer-messenger RNA". It matches the Rfam family "transfer-messenger RNA". From Rfam's summary of the family: Bacterial tmRNA, also known as 10Sa RNA or SsrA, is named for its dual tRNA and mRNA-like properties. RNAcentral also lists the same sequence under 2 other names. The record is from RNAcentral. Lineage: Bacteria; Bacillati; Chloroflexota.